UGGGCACUGUUUUAUGCAUACUGUUCAUUUGUUAUAAAAUUAAGCCGAUCGGACCUUUUUUUAAAAAACAAAUAAAUUUGAAGACCAAGAUAAGGUGGAAUGCAGAAGGUUUUAAUCUCUUCUCUGCCUUAAUAUCAAACGGGCUAGGUGAAAUAUCAAUAACAAGAGAAAAUGUUAUCUUAUGCUUCUAAUGACAGAUAUUCAAUGUUUGUAUG
Molecule: long non-coding RNA, 215 nt
Filed under: Solanum tuberosum (potato)
Lineage: Eukaryota; Viridiplantae; Streptophyta; Magnoliopsida; Solanales; Solanaceae
Description: long non-coding RNA (STUB_LNC011199)
Source: RNAcentral